UGUGGGGCGGGCCCGAGGGCGCGUUCGUCUCAGAGACACCCCCCUCUCUGGCCCACCACGUGCUCUCCGCUGGCCUGUGGAGCAAACCUCCCCUUGCCUCCCCAGCCGCCCUGCCCGAGUGCGAGCGCUUUAAGGCAAGGCCCUCUAGAAGCAUUACAGAAAAAUCUUCACUUACACCAGAUCCAGGAAGUUGUCUGGAUUCUCUUCAGUUCCUCACUGUGUUAUCUAGAGAGACUAAUGACCACUCAAGUUUCACAGAGAGGGUCUCUGACUUAGUCACUGGUGACUGGAGCGGAAGUUGUUCUGGUGUGGAAAGAGUUGGAGCGCCUGGCUGAUCCAACCUGAAAGACCAAUCCUCUAAAGCUCCUGGAGCAGCAUAGUCAAAGGAAGAGGAGCAGGAAGCUGGGAGAAAUGGCUCAUCUUCUCCAUCCUGUGCCUUUGUUGCCUUUUGAUGCUGAUGAAAUCCCAGCAGCCUUUGGAGGGAGUAUAACACAAUGUGCAAACAUCACAGACAUUCACCAAAAAUCACAUCCCAAGACUUAAAACAAAAUACAAGAAGAAAAAAGCAAUUUCUCCCAAUUCAACUCCCCAAGGACCCAAAAAGCAUUUCAAACGUGUCCAGUAAGACAUUAAAAAUAAUCAUCCUGGACAGAAGUCAGUCCCUUGGUUGUUUUAAUGUACUUUUGUCGACAAACAAGGACAGUUUUCAAAACCACUGCCUUGGCUGACUUUGGAAGGUCUCUAGAAUAAAAGUACUUGGGUGACCCUAGGAUGACUGGGCAAGAGUAACCAAAGCUGUGGAUGAAACUGAAAAAGAUAAAAAAGAAAAACGAAAAAAAGAACUGAUGAUGUUUGAUGUAAAAACUAAAAUAUUGCCACAAUCAAGACAUAUUUCUAAGCUGAAACUUAUGAACAGAAACAACCCUAGUGGGAAAUUUAACAAUCCUCUUUAAAAGAGCGUUCAGAUUUUUCAAAGUAUGUAUAAACUCACUCCUAUGCUUCCCAAAUGGCUUGCUGUGGGGUGGCUGCUCCGUGGAAUCAGGAAGUGUUUUUCCUCUUCCUCUGUCCUCCUUCCCUCCUCCUCCUGCCUUCUUUUUACAGCGAUAUGCGCUCUUAUUAGCUAUUCUUUACUGCAUCCUCGAGGCUCUCCUCCAUUCUCUUUACUUCUCACAACUGCCAUUUCAAGAAGGGGUCGUUACACCGCAUCCUUAACAAGGAAGCCUAAGCUGGGAGACUGGGAGGGCCACCCUUCUCCAUCCAAAAUACAGUGUGGGCACAGCAGCAGCUGUAGGGUUGGACAGAACCUUCAGGACUCAGAAUCCAAAAGGGAGGAAGUGGAGAUGACUGAGGGUCCGAGACGCAUGCGCAUUCGCAUCAGCCUCUGGUGUCAUUCAUGCAACUGUGAUCCAGUCAGAUCACAGCAAGAUCCACAGGCCAGAGUGGAAUCCAAAUGCUUUGUCACAGAAUGUUUCCUCCACACAGUUAGCGCUGAAGUCUGGCACCACACUCCCUAUUCAGACCAAGUCCUAGCAUUCCCCAUUUUGCUUCCUUAAAAUGGAUUUUUUUGUUAUCAUGUUGUUAAUUACAAUAAAGAACAAUGCCAAUGCACUGUGUGGGAAUUACAAAAA
Molecule: long non-coding RNA, 1628 nt
Organism: Peromyscus maniculatus bairdii (prairie deer mouse)
Lineage: Eukaryota; Metazoa; Chordata; Mammalia; Rodentia; Cricetidae
Source: RefSeq, a predicted model, not a curated record